ACUCUUAGUCUUGUAGAUAAAUUCUUGCCUGUUGGAGAUUGAGAUCACAAAACGAACAAGCAUAUCUUUGUUUGAUUCACGUCCAAAGAAGAGGAAUCUGACGAAAAUGGAGUCGUUUGAUAAUAACUCCAAGUUAUCAAAGCCUCCUCUUGACGAAAAAGAUGGAGAAACCGAAACAUCUCGACUCCUUUCUCAGUCUGCAUCGGAACUUGCCAAGUCUAUCGAUGAUACCUCGGUCAAUAAAAUCAACGGAAGCAAUGAAAACCUUGCAAGCAAUGGCCAGCCACCCUCCGAUUCCUCCACUCCAUUGUACUCCAUCGAGAAUUCGACUCCGGUCCAUUCCCUUCCCAACUCCCGUUUGUCGUCUCUCCCGAAUUCUCCUUCCCGGGUCAACCAAUCUUUAUCCCAAUCUCCGACUCCGACAACCUCAGAGUUUGAGGACGCUAAGAGUGAGGUUUUCUCCGACUGCAGUAAAGAAGUGGCGACAGUGAGCUCCCAAGUUCCAGAAAAUAUGUUGAAACAUCGUAGAUUUUCCAAGACUAAAGCUGAAACCCAUUCACGCAGCCAUUCCCGCCGGGUGUCUGAUUUCUCCGAUCUUGACUUGCCCCCCCUGGAACCCCUUUUCGGGCCUCAUCUCUACUACCACCCUGAAGAGGGAGGCACCCCUGACGAAAACGACCUGUUCCCCUCCACGCCCCUGGACGAAGACCAACUCCCCCACGCUGACCGUAAGCUGAAGGAACAGCUGGGGAACGUAGUUAUCAAUACUAUUCAUGAAGAGGAAUUGCCGGAAGAAAUCGGUUGGUUGGAUCCAAGAUGGUUAGAUCCUCGGCCUCUCAUGUACAAUGCAGCAGAGCAAGCAGAAGAGUUUGCUAUCAAUGUUUGGCACAAAUUCCAAUCGUGGAAUGUUGUAGGAUUUUAUAAUCUGCCCCAGUGGCUCCAAGACAAUGAUUUCCUGAGAAAGGGGCACAGGCCCCCUCUUCCUAGCUUCAGAGAAUGCUUCAAGUCAAUAUUUCGCAUUCACACUGAAACCGGAAAUAUUUGGACUCAUCUUCUUGGUGUAGUAGCUUUCUUUGGCCUCGCAUUGUACUUCAUGAUGAGGCCGUCCACGGAAAUAGAGGUUCAAGAGAAAUUUGUAUUUAUGAGCUUUUUUGCCGGAGCAAUUGUAUGCAUGGGUCUAUCCUUUACAUACCAUACGGUCUGCUGCCAUCAAAACAAGUUUAUCGGAAAACUCUUUGCCAAGUUUGAUUAUUGUGGGAUUGCAUUUCUGACUGUUGGUAGCUUUGUGCCCUGGCUAUACUACAGUUUCUACUGUAGUUACACUCCCAAAGUAGUUUACUGCUGUAUUGUAGUCCUGCUCGGACUGCUAGCGGUCAUUGUGAGUCUGUGGGACAAGUUUGGGACACCUAGAUACCGUCCGUUUAGAGCCGGGGUCUUCAUCACAUUCGGGCUCUCUGGGAUAGCCCCCGCGACACACUACUCGAUCAUCAACGGGUGGGAGAAAUCUAUCAACGAGGCGGCGCUUGGCUGGUUAAUUCUAAUGGGUGCUCUCUACAUAUCCGGAGCCCUUCUGUACGCAUUUAGAAUCCCUGAACGGUUUUUCCCGGGAAAAGUAGACAUCUUAUUCCACUCACACCAGCUUUUCCACUGCUUUGUUAUCGCGGGAGCGUUUGUGCACUAUCAUGGCAUUUCGAACAUGGCCCUCUACAGAUUACAGAUUGGAGAGUGCCCCCACCCAGCUGUAGAUUUUUCGGAGUAUAACUCCUUCUAGUCUGUGACCAAACGUUGCUGCGGAGUGAAAAGUGAUAUUCCUUGGGUUGGUUAAAUCAUUAAAGGGACUUCCCUUUAAUGCCGAUAAAUUAGAUAAACAAGAUUCAUGAUUUUUGUUCGCUAAUUGCAUCAAAACAAAAUCUAUCAAACUUUCUACAGAGGUAUAUACGACAAGCCUCAGAUUAUUCAGUAAAUAAAAACAUUACAAGAAAUGAUUUACAGAAUAAAUUUUGCAUUUUUCACAAACAGCAUAGAAUUCAAACUGAAAGCUGGGAAGAUUUAAUCGGAGGAAAUUAGUAAAUCGUAAAAAUUAAACUUCAAACUACUUUUAAAAGAUCUGGUAAGUUUUACUCAUUAGGACUUGAAACUGAUUCUUUCUGUUUAAAAGUUUCAAGCUUAGGGGUAUUGAAUGAUAGCUUGAUGAAAUAGUUUUACUAUAUAUAUUUUAUAUUUUACAGAAGUGUAUAUUUUUCUCCAAUAUAUGGCAUUCGGUUUACUUUUUGCCAAGAAUAUUUUUUGUGAGAGAGGGGGGGGGGGCAUAAAUUUAUUAAUUUAUGUUGUUCAUUUCUAGAUUUUGAAAAGGUUUGUGGUUAAAAUAUACACUUUAAAUCUGUGAAAAUGUUGAAAGUUGAUUUUACAUAAGCCCAAAUAAUUUUCAUUUUCAAAUCUUUUCUGAAAUAUUACUGCAUAUACACUAAAAAAUUUUCAUUUAACACUUAAAAAAUUUAAACAUGUGUGAUGUUAAAAAGUGUCUAUUUAGUGCAUUUAAGAAAUGUCACGUUCCCUCCUAAAUUCAGUAUUAAAUGAGCAUUAUUGUUGUCAGAAAAAAAACUGCGAGGCAUGUUGUUGAAAAAAAUUCUAAAUAUUUGUCAUUUAAAAUCUUGCCAGGUUAUAGAUUCAAAUUUAACGAUUUAACCCUGAGAUGUGUUAUUGUGCGCCCACCCUUUAAAUAUAAUUGGCUAUAUUCGUAGAAUGUCAUUUUAUUAAAUAUAUUGGUGUGUAUUGUCAUUCCCCUCCUCAAAUAAUAACUAGCCCAGUAUGUUAAAUGUUAUUGUUUUGUUACAAUCAGAAAGAAAAUUAUGGGAAUAAUUUAUAUAAAUAAUUUUUAAAAAAAGUUUAUGGAAUCUAUUUGUACGAAACUGUUCCUUAAAGGGACUGUAAGCUUAAUUUCAAGUAAUCCUCCAUGCAAAGAUGGGAAUCCCAAUUUUUAGAGCUUUGUCUGAUAGUGUUUGAAUUAAAUAUACAUUUUUUUCUUUCUUUUAACUGUUGUAUGUUCAUUUGUGGGUUCCUUGGAAUAAGUGACUUGCGCUUUUUUUUGCUUACACGAUUUUCCGUGUUGGGAAAACGAUGUUAUCUUCAACAUUUGUGGUCGGAUUAAGGUUUCAAGGGUACCGUUGUAAAUCAGACAAUGCCAACUUUGCAUAGAGGGGCAUUUAAGAUUAG
This is an RNA transcript of Eurytemora carolleeae, 3213 nucleotides long. It is a transcript of the gene named adiponectin receptor protein, with no coding region annotated. The transcript has 2 exons. The record is from RefSeq and is a predicted model, not a curated record. Lineage: Eukaryota; Metazoa; Arthropoda; Copepoda; Calanoida; Temoridae.